Molecule: transfer-messenger RNA, 304 nt
Filed under: Accumulibacter sp.
Lineage: Bacteria; Pseudomonadati; Pseudomonadota; Betaproteobacteria
Also listed under: 1 other name
Rfam family: Betaproteobacteria transfer-messenger RNA
About the family: Bacterial tmRNA, also known as 10Sa RNA or SsrA, is named for its dual tRNA and mRNA-like properties. Its role is to liberate the mRNA from a stalled ribosome. To accomplish this part of the tmRNA is used as a reading frame that ends in a translation stop signal.
Source: RNAcentral
UGGUGUUCUGGUCUUGUAUUCGGGCGUCCGGGCCCCCAUAAUGCCAAGCAUGAUCGUAAUUCCGGCAGACCGGAAGCGUUCUGGACGCGGGUUCGAUUCCCGCCACCUCCACCAUGCGGGGGUGCACUGGUUUCGACAGGGUGACAGAUGGCGCGCAGGCGAUCCGAAAGGCGACGGACGUAAUCCGAGCAAAUCCAUAAACGCCAACGAUGAGCGUUUCGCACUGGCCGCUUAAGGCCUGCUGAGGACGUAGCCGUCCAAUAAACAGAAUGGCUAUCGGCGGGGGCUUCGGCCCCCGCCGUCG